Molecule: ribosomal RNA, 497 nt
Filed under: uncultured bacterium
Lineage: Bacteria
Description: partial 16S ribosomal RNA
Rfam family: Bacterial small subunit ribosomal RNA
Source: RNAcentral
GACGAACGCUGGCGGCGUGCUUAAUACAUGCAAGUCGAGCGGAAGGACGCGACGUUUGCGUCUUGCACGUGUGCGGAGCGGGGGAGAAAAACAUGAGUAACCUGCCCUUAUAUGUGUGGUAACUCCUCGGAACUGGGGCGAAUACACGAGAGAAUCUCCUGAUCCGUAUGGGUGAAUGGAGAAAGACGGCGUUGAUGUAAGUAAUAGCUGGAUCUGAGCUGGAUUGGGUAGUAGGUAAGGUAAAGGCUUACCAAGGCAAGGAGGCCUAGCCGAGGUGCGAGGGUGAUCGGCCACACGAGAACUGAGACACGGUCCAGACUCCUACGGGAGGCAGCAGUAGGGAAUCGGCCGCAAUGGGCGAAAGCCUGACGGAGCAACGCCGCGUGAGUGAUGAAGGUCUUCGGAUCGUAAAACUCUGUUAUUAGGGAAGGACAUAUGUGUAAGUAACUGUGCACAUCUUGACGGUACCUAAUCAGAAAGCCACGGCUAACUACGUG